RNAcentral lists this ribosomal RNA (508 nucleotides) under uncultured cyanobacterium. Its description in RNAcentral is "bacterial SSU rRNA". It matches the Rfam family "Bacterial small subunit ribosomal RNA", at positions 366 to 896 of the family's 1533-position model. Lineage: Bacteria; Bacillati; Cyanobacteriota. The record is from RNAcentral.
CCUCAAUGGGCGAAAGCCUGAUGGAGCAAUACCGCGUGAGGGAUGAAGCAUCGUGGUGUGUAAACCUCUUUUCUUAACGAAGAAGUCCUGACGGUAGUUAAGGAAUAAGCACCGGCUAACUCCGUGCCAGCAGCCGCGGUAAUACGGGGGGUGCAAGCGUUGUCCGGAAUGAUUGGGCGUAAGGCAUCUGUAGGUGGUUUUUAAAGUCGACUGUUAAAGCCCAGGGCUCAACUUUGGAUAAGCGGUCGAGUACUUAAGGACUUGAGUUUGGUAGGGGUAGAGGGAAUUCCUAGUGGAGCGGUGAAAUGCACAGAGAUUAGGAAGAACACCGAUGGCGAAAGCACUCUACUGGGCCACAACUGACACUGAGAGAUGAAAGUCGGGGGAGCGAAAAGGAUUAGAUACCCUUGUAGUCCCGACCGUAAACGAUGGGUACUAAGUGCUGGCAAAACCAGUGCUGUAGCUAACGCGUUAAGUACCCCGCCUGGGGAGUAUGCUCGCAAGAGUG